CCUACGGGCGGCAGCAGUGGGGAAUAUUGCACAAUGGGGGAAACCCUGAUGCAGCGACGCCGCGUGAGUGAAGAAGUAUUUCGGUACGUAAAGCUCUAUCAGCAGGGAAGAAAAUGACGGUACCUGACCAAGAAGCCCCGGCUAACUACGUGACAGCAGCCGCGGUAAUACGUAGGGGGCAAGCGUUAUCCGGAUUUACUGGGGGUAAAGGGAGCGUAGACGGCAGCGCAAGUCUGGAGUGAAAUGCCGGGGCUCAACCCCGGAAGUGCAUUGGAAACUGUGCAGCUGGAGUGCAGGAGAGGUAAGCGGAAUUCCUAGUGUAGCGGUGAAAUGCGUAGAGAUUAGGAGGAACACCAGUGGCGAAGGCGGCUUACUGGACUGUAACUGACGUUGAGGCUCGAAAGCGUGGGGAGCAAACAGGAUUAGAUACCCCAGUAGUC
Molecule: ribosomal RNA, 440 nt
Filed under: uncultured bacterium
Lineage: Bacteria
Description: partial 16S ribosomal RNA
Rfam family: Bacterial small subunit ribosomal RNA
Source: RNAcentral